Molecule: non-coding RNA, 51 nt
Organism: Schistosoma mattheei
Lineage: Eukaryota; Metazoa; Platyhelminthes; Trematoda; Strigeidida; Schistosomatidae
Source: Rfam
AUUUAACUGACGAGUUCCAAAUAGGACGAAGUGACGCACUUCAAACUAGAU